RNAcentral lists this ribosomal RNA (843 nucleotides) under uncultured bacterium. RNAcentral describes it as "bacterial SSU rRNA". It matches the Rfam family "Bacterial small subunit ribosomal RNA", at positions 77 to 916 of the family's 1533-position model. The record is from RNAcentral.
CCUUCGGGUGAGUAAAGUGGCGCACGGGUGAGUAAUAGUUGAGAACAUGCCCUGAGGUGGGGAAUAACAGUUGGAAACGACUGCUAAUACCGCAUGGUUUCGCAAGAAUAAAGGUGGGGAUCGCAAGACCUACCGCCACAGGAUUGGCUCAACUCCCAUUAGCUAGUUGGCAGGGUAAUGGCCUACCAAGGCAGCGAUGGGUAACUGGUCUGAGAGGAUGAUCAGUCACACUGGAACUGAGACACGGUCCAGACUCCUACGGGAGGCAGCAGUAGGGAAUAUUGCACAAUGGAGGAAACUCUGAUGCAGCAACGCCGCGUGAGUGAAGAAGGCCCUUGGGUUGUAAAGCUCUUUAGCCUGGAAAGAAGUGCUCGUAAGUAAACAAUUUGCGAGUGUGACAGUACCAGGAGAAUAAGCACCGGCUAAUUUCGUGCCAGCAGCCGCGGUAAUACGAAAGGUGCAAGCGUUACUCGGAAUUACUGGGCGUAAAGCGCGCGUAGGUGGUCUUGUAUGUCGAUUGUGAAAGCCCAGGGCUCAACCUUGGAAUAGCAGCCGAAACUGCAAGACUUGAAUGUUGGAGAGGGUGGGGGAAUACCUAGUGGAGAAGUGAAAUUCGUAGAGAUUAGGUGGAACACCAGAGGCGAAGGCGCCUACCUGGCCAAACAUUGACGCUGAGGCGCGAAAGUGCGGGGAGCAAACAGGAUUAGAUACCCUGGUAGUCCGCACCGUAAACGAUGGACACUAGCCGUUCGAAGCAUUAACCCUUUGAGUGGCGAAGCUAACGCAUUAAGUGUCCCGCCUGGGAAGUACGGUCGCAAGACUAAAACUCAAAGGAAUUGACGG